Long non-coding RNA from Helianthus annuus (common sunflower), 4316 nucleotides. RefSeq lists it as uncharacterized. Lineage: Eukaryota; Viridiplantae; Streptophyta; Magnoliopsida; Asterales; Asteraceae. The transcript is spliced from 6 exons. The record is from RefSeq and is a predicted model, not a curated record.
UUCUUCUUUCAUACUCAUCGACAUUCUCCAUAACCCUAAAAGCAAAGCUGUUCAUCUUGAUCUUGGUUCAAUAAUCCUUCGUCAAUCCAAGGUGAUUUGUGAGGAAAUCAUUUUUUCCCUUAAAUUUGUAAACUUGAUUCUGCUUCAAUCCAUCUUCUUCCACUCAUGUUUGAUCAUCCAAGAUUUGUAAAAUCUUGCUGUUCGUGUUGUCUUCACGUUUUUUGUGUGGUGGAUAUAACCUGAAUCACCAAAUACGUUUCUUUCUUUUCUAAACCCUAGAUUUAUGUACAUUGGAUUUAGUUUUGCCACUUCCUCUCAUCGUUCCAAUGCAGGUGCGACUUUUUUGGUUUGAUUUCUUCAUUCUUCACCGCCGAUUCAUCAUCCAAAACUGAUCCAGAAAGCAUGCAGCUCACCACAGCGAAAAGGUACACAUUUUUAAUGUUUUUUUGAGAUCUUAGUAAGGGGAGUGAUCUCUCACGGCUGCCUUGGUUUUGUUGGGUCAUAUGCUUUCCAAUCUUGCUUACCUAAUCUGCAAUCUCGGGUUUCGUUUGCUUGAGAUUUGAGUCUGCCGAUUGUUGAAGUCUUUGAAGCCGAUCAUUUUAAAUUUCCAGUUCCCGAGAUUAUUCUGCAUGUAUGAUGAUAUUAGGGAACAUCAAGAAGCUUAAAACAGGAUUGUGUAGCCAAAAUGGAACCAUCCAACUUAUAUGUACAAUAUGAUGAUAGUGAGCUAUCUGUAAUGGCUUACCAAUAAGAACCUUAGAUGUCUCGAUUUCUUCUACAUCAAAUAUUGGAGACAUUCAACAGGUUAGGGUUUCAAAUGUCAUACUUCUCCUUCCUUUUUCAAUGUUCAUCUACACCAUUUUGUGUUGGUUAUUUGCAUUUGCUUCUCAUUUAAUCAGUUGAUCGUUGCAUUACAGAGACUAUGAACCCAAAUGCGGCACCCUUUGGUGAUCGAAAAUCUUGGUGUAGAUAAUUGUUAGUUAUGUGUAGGUUGGUGUGAAUACAAAAACAUGAAUACGUUGAUGAGCCCUUUCUGGGAAUUAGCCCUUGAAGAUGUCAAUUGAUGUUAAGUUUGUUUCUUCUUUAUUUAUUUUGAUUUUAUUGCAUUCGUUGCUUUUUAUUCCUCCUUUUUUAUACGAUCGUCUUUGAAAGACAUAUAGCUGAAGAGACCAUAUUAUGUUAAUUUGAUGGAUGACCUUACUCUUACAGGUAUCACACAAUAUUAUGCUUUUGUGGAAUAAAGGCUGCGUUUUUUUUUCUUCUUAUGCUUCAGUUCCUACGACUUCGGUUUGUAUCCCGGUACCGAAUUUCGCUGCCAGUGGAAGAUGAAAGGUUGCAUGGCCGCUGAUUAGCAAAGUUUUUUUUUUCUUUUUAACUAUUGUUGAUUUUCCUUACAUUGGUUCAUAUUCAGCUUUUUUCGUAUUUUUGUUCUCAAGGUUUAAUUUUUUGUUCAGUGGUUUUAGUUUAGAGGUGAUUUGGGGUUUAGGGUUAAUUUUUGAUGUUAUUUGUGUUACUUUAAGGAAAUUGGGCCUUUUGGUUGAUGAUACGGUUUAGGCUUUUCAACAACGAUAGAGGGGCUGUCAUCAUAUAGAUCAACUUUUUCAAGAGCGUGAGAGGGGCGCUCAUUAACAACUGUAUGCAUCAUUGUCGAGUGCGUUCUUUUUACAUUGGUUAUGUAAAAAAAAUUUAAGAUCUGGCAUAAGCGAUAUUUAUCAAAUUACAGUUUUAGCUGACAUUAGAUGGAGUGUUUUUAACAUUUAAAAGUUGUAUGACUAGAUAAAUGAUGCUUUGGUUUCAAACUCUUGACACUAACAAAGAGAGUGAUUAUUAUUUAAGACACUAAUAGUUUUCUAAUUUGCUAUUGUAAUGAUGGUGUUGCUGUAAAUGCAGGAAAUUGAGUAGAUUGAGAUCAACUGCUUUCAAUACUUCUGCAAGUUUAAUAAUCCUGGCCAAAUUUAUGCUAAUUGUUAGACCUGUUGUUGGCUCUUAGAAGGAUAUAUGAUGCCUGGAUCUCUCAUAGAUGCUAAGAAGCUUCAUGGGAGGAUCUCGAAGUCGGGUUUCGAUACCGAUAAUGUAAUUUGCAUUCGACUUGCUGAGGUUUAUGUUGCUCAGGGUGAUUCGAGUUAUCAUGCCAGGUGCUUGAUGAAAUGCCCAACAUAGAUUUAUCCUUUUGAAAUAACUUAAUUUUUGAUUUGAUCGAAACGAGGUUACCGACUGUAGUGUUCGGCCUGUUCUUGAAAAUGUUGGCUGACAAGGUUGACCCGAAUGAAGCAACAUUUGCAAAUGUUUUACGGGCUUUUAGUGGAGAUAGGAUUGGCCAUUAUAGUCUAAAGGAGAUCCACCAACUCUGUUCUCUUGGGGUUACGGUAAGCAAAUUCCAUCUCAAUUUCCAGUUCAAGUUAUUGCUAAAUUGCUUCAUUAAUUUGCAAUACCCGAAUCACAAUAAUCACAUGUACACAAAUAAGGUUGCGAUUGAGUAGAAAGUGCCGAAUAAAUAACAUGCAGUUUAUUAGUUUUGACCCAUUAGAGUUAAGCAUGACACAAGUUAACCUUUUAUUAAACAAAUUGUUUGAAAUUGGCAUGUCUAGGCUGAUUUAAUAUCUGGUGCUACUUAUUUGGUCAACAAUUUAAUGUCUUCAGCCCCAAAUCUUGGCUAAAACUCAAAUAUUUUGUUGGAGAUCACUGGUUUGUUUGGUGAUUCAUUUAUGCAAUUACAAUGAAAACUUUAGAUUAUUGCAUCUUACUCUUAUAAACUUACGUUGGUUGCUUAUUAUGUUCAACUUGAUUGUCCCUCCGUUCACUUUAAUAUGUAUGAUGUUUCUUAAACAUCAUAAUUGCCUACCGGUCUAAUGAUCUGGCCUGUGGGUGUGGGAAGUAGGGAUGGGCGUAACAUGGUCGGAACCGUGAGAACCAUGGUACCGAACAGUGACUACCACAUAGAAAGACCUGUUUAAUAUUUAAGGUUCGGCUAUGGUUCUGUCUCCUACAUUCAAAACGUCUAACAAGUUGUUUUACAAAGACCGACCCGUUUGAUAUUUUUAUUUUUUAUUUUUAUUACAAAUGUCUUCAUUUUGGUUGCAAGAUAUUUCUUCUAAUGUUAUCUUUUUGAUUAUAUAUAUAUAUAUAUAUAUAUAUAUAUAUAUAUAUAUAUAUAUAUAUAUAUAUAUAUAUAUAUAUGUGUGUGUGUGUGUGUGUGUGUGUGUGUGUGUGUUGGGGGGGGCUAUGACAUGUGCAUCUGGCUUAAACAUCUCAAUCCAUUAACAUGGCCUGAGUAUUUACGACAAUAAGCAUAUUGUGAAGAACUGAACUGAAUUGAAUGGGAAACACUUUGUUAUCGGCGUUGAACGAUGCAAUAAUUGAUCGGGAGUUACUAGCAAUCCAAAAAGCUUACCUGGCGGGUCUUUUAUCUUCUCAAAAGUCUUAGUAUGGUCUUAAUCAUGGUUACUAUGGAAGCCUUGGUUAUGGGCUUGGGAUGUCGUAUCCAGGAAGCCCAUUGGGCAGCCCACUUCUGCCUAACUCCGCUUUUGGGCCUGGUAGUCCCGCCCGACAUGGUGACCGGAGCUUGCGGUUUUCUUCCCACGUAAUAUGUUCAAUGCAUACGAAGUUUGAAUUUUGAUGUUCUAUGACUGGGAGGAUGGCCUAUCUGAGAGUGAGGCUGAUGGAUCAUUCUUGCAUGAAAACUGGAAUAAAGGUCUGAGUGAAGACGACGGACUUUUUCAGGUGCACACACUCUUGGAUUCUCGCAUUGCAACCAAUUCGCAGACAAGAUAUACAACUUCAGCAAGCAGAACCCGGUUGAUCCAACUCUAAACCCAAAUUAUGCGAGCCAAUUGCAGCAACAGUGUCUAAAGAACGUUGACCCGCGGAUAGCUGUAAACAUGGAUCCAAACACACUAAGAAAAUUUGACGUGUACUAUAAGAACCUACAGCAAGGACAAGGAUUAUUUUCUUCUGACCAGGUUCUCUUCACGACUCGAUGUCAAAACAAACCGUGACGCAUGGGCCUCCAGCUCACAUGUUUUCAAUAACGUGUUUGUUACAGCUAUGACUAAACUAGGUCGGGUUGGAGUCAAGACAGGCCAAAAUGGAAAUAUCAGACGAGAUUAUUAAGAUUAAUCUCAAAUACCACUUAGCUAUAUAUACAAAUUUCAUUUCAAAAAUGAAAUGAUAUUAAAGCAUAAAGGAUGUAUUUUCUGUUACAACAUGAUGGCCUUUCCCAUUGUUUCUCAUCAUAAUAAUGGAAGGGAAACAGAAAAAUUUGAACACUGUAUUUACUUUUUAAAUGAUUUGCCUAUGUGGACUGUAAGACCAAAGAA